GGAGGACUGAGCAGAUGGAACACUUGAGCAGAUGGAGCACUCCCGCAGAUGGAGGACUCAAGCAGAUGGAGCACUCGUGCAGGUGGAGCACUCACACAGAUGGAGGAUUUGUGCAGAUGGAGCGCUUGUGCAUGUGGAGCACUCACCAGAUGGAGCACUUGCGCAGAUGGAGGACUCAUGCAGAUGGAGCACUCGUGCAGGUGGAGGAUUGAGCAGAUGGAGCACUCAUGCAAAUGGAGCACUCAUGCAAAUGGAGCACUCAAACAGAUGGAGGACUCAAGCAGAUGGAGCACUC
Molecule: long non-coding RNA, 295 nt
Organism: Herpailurus yagouaroundi (jaguarundi)
Lineage: Eukaryota; Metazoa; Chordata; Mammalia; Carnivora; Felidae
Exons: 3
Source: RefSeq, a predicted model, not a curated record